Molecule: ribosomal RNA, 639 nt
Filed under: uncultured bacterium
Lineage: Bacteria
Description: bacterial SSU rRNA
Rfam family: Bacterial small subunit ribosomal RNA
Source: RNAcentral
CGCGGCCUAUCAGCUUGUUGGUGGGAUAACGGCCUACCAAGGCAACGACGGGUAGCUGGUCUGAGAGGACGAUCAGCCACACUGGCACUGAGAUACGGGCCAGACUCCUACGGGAGGCAGCAGUGAGGAAUAUUGCGCAAUGGGCGAAAGCCUGACGCAGCAACGCCGCGUGGGGGAUGACGGCCUUCGGGUUGUAAACCCCUUUCAGCAGGGACGAAAAUGACGGUACCUGCAGAAGAAGCCCCGGCCAACUACGUGCCAGCAGCCGCGGUAACACGUAGGGGGCAAGCGUUGUCCGGAUUUAUUGGGCGUAAAGAGCUCGUAGGCAGUUGCGUAAGUCGGAUGUGAAAACUCAGGGCUCAACCCGGAGACUGCAUUCGAUACUGCGCUGACUAGAGUCCGGUAGGGGAGCAUGGAAUUCCUGGUGUAGCGGUGAAAUGCGCAGAUAUCAGGAGGAACACCAGUGGCGAAGGCGGUGCUCUGGGCCGGUACUGACGCUGAGGAGCGAAAGCGUGGGUAGCGAACAGGAUUAGAUACCCUGGUAGUCCACGCCGUAAACGUUGGGCACUAGGUGUGGGGCCUACUUAACGGGUUCCGUGCCGUAGCUAACGCAUUAAGUGCCCCGCCUGGGGAGUACGG